Long non-coding RNA from Apis mellifera (honey bee), 317 nucleotides. RefSeq lists it as uncharacterized. The record is from RefSeq and is a predicted model, not a curated record. The transcript has 3 exons. Lineage: Eukaryota; Metazoa; Arthropoda; Insecta; Hymenoptera; Apidae.
GACCCUCGCCGAAUUGAAAAUCCAUCGCGGUGUCUGAAGGAAAAAUACAUCCCCCCUCGAGUAUCGUCUCGAUAAUCUCGUUUGUCGUAAUUUUGAACAAUGCUAGAUAUAUUCGUUCUGGAAGAAGGAAUCUUGUAAUUUUGAACAAUGCCAUGUAACUUAAAUUUAUAUAAUUGAUGACAAAUGAUUAUUAAAUUGAUUUCUUAUGGAGGAAUUUUUUAUAGAUAUAUUCGUUCUGGAAGAAGGAAUCUUGUAAUUUUGAACAAUGCCAUAUAUAUUCGUUCUGGAAGAAGGAAUCUUAUAAUUUUGAACAAUGC